This 419-nucleotide ribosomal RNA is filed under the name bacterium. Its description in RNAcentral is "partial 16S ribosomal RNA". It matches the Rfam family "Bacterial small subunit ribosomal RNA", at positions 355 to 776 of the family's 1533-position model. The record is from RNAcentral.
UGGGGGAUAUUGCACAAUGGGCGAAAGCCUGAUGCAGCGACGCCGCGUGGGGGAUGAAGGCCUUCGGGUUGUAAACUUCUUUUGCUCUGAACAAGGCAUGCUAAUGGGUGUGUUGAGUGUAGGGGUUGAUUAGCGCCGGCUAACUACGUGCCAGCAGCCGCGGUAAUACGUAGGGCGCGAGCGUUGUCCGGAAUUAUUGGGCGAAAAGGGCUUGUAGGUGGCUGGUUGCGUCUGUCGUGAAAGCUCAUGGCUUAACUGUGGGUUUGCGGUGGGUACGGGCUGGCUUGAGUGCAGUAGGGGAGGCUGGAAUUCCUGGUGUAGCGGUGGAAUGCGCAGAUAUCAGGAGGAAUACCGGUGGCGAAGGCGGGUCUCUGGGCUGUUACUGACACUGAGGAGCGAAAGCAUGGGGAGCGAACAGG